CCUGGGUCAUUUAGAGGAAGUAAAAGUCGUAACAAGGUUUCCGUAGGUGAACCUGCGGAAGGAUCAUUAACAACAACAACAACAAAAAAUGUAUUAUCAUCCAUAAUACAUUUUUCAUUUCAUUCCAUCCCACUUGUGAACCAACCAAAAAGCUAGUUAGGGAACUUUUGGAUCUGCUAAUAAUACAAUAACUUAUUAGCAAGGAGAAAUAGUACCACUAGCUGUUAACAUAAUUCCAUCUACUCAGUGUAUAUGUAUAUGUCCAGAGUGUAAUAAACCAAACUAUUACAACUUUUAGCAAUGGAUCUCUUGGCUCUCGCAUCGAUGAAGAACGCAGCGAAUUGCGAUAAGUAAUGUGAAUUGCAGAUUUUCAGUGAAUCAUCGAAUCUUUGAACGCAUCUUGCACUCUUUGGUAUUCCGAAGAGUAUGCCUGUUUGAGUGUCAUUUAUAUUAAUCAAACUACCAUUUUGAUAUGGAUAGUUUUGGAGGUGGGACUUGCUGGCUACUAGUUGCUAGUCAGCUUUCCUUAAAUUCAUUAGGACAUGGUACAGCCCUAUUGGAUGUGAUAAUGAUCAUCCAAGCUGGAAGUGUUUGAUUUAGAUUUAUUAUAUGAUGGAUUAAUCUAUCUAUCCUAUCUAUCUAUCUAUUUAAUGCAUGACCUCAAAUCAG
This 669-nucleotide ribosomal RNA is filed under the name uncultured Boletales. RNAcentral's name for it is "eukaryotic LSU rRNA". The stretch from base 290 to 444 matches the Rfam family "5.8S ribosomal RNA". Lineage: Eukaryota; Fungi; Basidiomycota; Agaricomycetes; Boletales. The record is from RNAcentral.